RNAcentral lists this ribosomal RNA (390 nucleotides) under Triticum aestivum (bread wheat). Its description in RNAcentral is "partial small subunit ribosomal RNA". Lineage: Eukaryota; Viridiplantae; Streptophyta; Magnoliopsida; Poales; Poaceae. The record is from RNAcentral.
AUGGAGAGCAACAGCAUAGCAGCAGCAGGAGCAGGCAGGGUGCUCAUGCCACCCAAGCUGAAUGCCCUCUUAUAUAUUACUCUCUGGCUCAGAGCUUGUACCCUGUAUCAUCUAUCCAACCAGAUGAUCCAAGCUUACUCUGACGCAUCCAUGGCUUCCUCGAGCAACAAUGGCCAAACAAACCAAAUCAAGCAAAACCAGCUCAAAUCUAAUCAAACUGAACUGAAAGACGCACCGCCAUACAGAUUUCACACAACCACAUGGACCAAUCAAGCAGCACGAAGUAAGGCAGCAACACACACACACACACACACACACCCGUGCACUCCAGAGAAAGCUUCAGCUGAGCACGGUAGCACGGUAGCACCAAUAGGGUGGGCAUGCCAGUAG